This 489-nucleotide long non-coding RNA is filed under the name Marmota monax (woodchuck). The record is from RNAcentral. Lineage: Eukaryota; Metazoa; Chordata; Mammalia; Rodentia; Sciuridae.
GGGAGCGGUUGCACCUUCAUCCUGCAGCACCUGUUUACGGAGGAAACGCAGUUUGCCUGCCUGUGCCCGACCCCUGGUAAAAUAGUGUGAAAAGUGCAAGAGUCUUCUGUUAAGAUUUUUUUCCCCCCAACAUCCGUGCGUAAGUAUCGAACCUCUGCGUUAACACAAAGUAACGUAGUGUCUCGUCAUGUAUUUGACCAGGCAACAUUGUUGCUAGAAUUUCGGAACUCACAGACGGAAAUUCAACUGAGCAUUCCUACUGCAGGAAAGAGAUGUUGGUUCCCAGUCUUUUGACUCCCACGCCGAAACUGCACAAUUGCCUUCUUCAGAAUAGCAGCUUUACACUCUCUGGCGCGACAGAAAUUCACUCAUCUUCUACAUCGAAAGUGAGGCUAUAAGUGGCUUUUGACAAAUAUCUGCUUUUCCUAAAGAUAGACCUCCCUUCGACCCCCCUCCCCCAAUCCGACUCCCACUUAGCUUCCAACCAAC